GGACCCUUAGCUCAGUUGGUCAGAGCGGUCGGCUCAUAACCGAUUGGUCAUAGGUUCGAGUCCUAUAGGGUCCACCA
This 77-nucleotide transfer RNA is filed under the name Erysipelotrichaceae bacterium. RNAcentral describes it as "tRNA-Met". It matches the Rfam family "tRNA". From Rfam's summary of the family: Transfer RNA (tRNA) molecules are approximately 80 nucleotides in length. Their secondary structure includes four short double-helical elements and three loops (D, anti-codon, and T loops). The record is from RNAcentral. Lineage: Bacteria; Bacillati; Bacillota; Erysipelotrichia; Erysipelotrichales; Erysipelotrichaceae.